UCCCUGGUGGUCCACUGGUUAAGAAUCCACCUUGCAAAGAAGGGGACCCAGGUUUGAUCCCUGGUCAGGGAA
Molecule: transfer RNA, 72 nt
Filed under: Ovis aries (sheep)
Lineage: Eukaryota; Metazoa; Chordata; Mammalia; Artiodactyla; Bovidae
Rfam family: tRNA
About the family: Transfer RNA (tRNA) molecules are approximately 80 nucleotides in length.
Source: Rfam by way of RNAcentral